CAGCGCCACGAGUGGGAACCACGAUUAUUGGGCCUAAAGCGUCCGUAGCUGGUUUGAUAAGUCUUUUGUGAAAUCGUUGCGCUUAACGUAACGACGUGCAAAAGAGACUGUCAGACUUGGAACCGGGAGGAGUCAGAGGUAUUCCAUGGGGAGCGGUAAAAUGCUAUAAUCCAUGGAGGACCACCUGUGGCGAAGGCGUCUGACCAGAACGGAUUCGACAGUGAGGGACGAAAGCUGAGGGAGCAAUCCGGAUUAGAGACCCGAGUAGUCC
RNAcentral lists this ribosomal RNA (271 nucleotides) under uncultured archaeon. RNAcentral's name for it is "partial 16S ribosomal RNA". It matches the Rfam family "Archaeal small subunit ribosomal RNA", at positions 477 to 747 of the family's 1478-position model. The record is from RNAcentral.